Molecule: non-coding RNA, 98 nt
Filed under: Photobacterium marinum
Lineage: Bacteria; Pseudomonadati; Pseudomonadota; Gammaproteobacteria; Vibrionales; Vibrionaceae
Description: TPP sequence
Rfam family: TPP riboswitch aptamer (THI element)
About the family: Vitamin B(1) in its active form thiamin pyrophosphate (TPP) is an essential coenzyme that is synthesised by coupling of pyrimidine and thiazole moieties in bacteria.
Source: RNAcentral
GUAUGUUAGUCGGGGAGCCUAUGGCUGAGACCACUUCGGUGGGACCCGUUGAACCUGAUCCAUUUAAUAAUGGCGUAGGGAACUAGCAAACGUAUCCU